GAUGAACGCUGGCGGCGUGCCUAAUACAUGCAAGUCGAGCGAAUGGAUUAAGAGCUUGCUCUUAUGAAGUUAGCGGCGGACGGGUGAGUAACACGUGGGUAACCUGCCCAUAAGACUGGGAUAACUCCGGGAAACCGGGGCUAAUACCGGAUAACAUUUUGAACCGCAUGGUUCGAAACUGAAAGGCGGCUUCGGCUGUCACUUAUGGAUGGACCCGCGUCGCAUUAGCUAGUUGGUGAGGUAACGGCUCACCAAGGCCACGAUGCGUAGCCGACCUGAGCGGGUGCUCGGCCACACUGGGACUGAGACAGGGCCCAGACUCCUACGGGAGGCAGCAGUAGGGAAUCUUCCGCAAUGGACGAAAGUCUGACGGAGCAACGCCGCGUGAGUGAUGAAGGCUUUCGGGUCGUAAAACUCUGUUGUUAGGGAAGAACAAGUGCUAGUUGAAUAAGCUGGCACCUUGACGGUACCUAACCAGAAAGCCACGGCUAACUACGUGCCAGCCGCCGCGGUAA
This 515-nucleotide ribosomal RNA is filed under the name uncultured bacterium. RNAcentral describes it as "partial 16S ribosomal RNA". It matches the Rfam family "Bacterial small subunit ribosomal RNA", at positions 28 to 523 of the family's 1533-position model. The record is from RNAcentral.